Molecule: ribosomal RNA, 642 nt
Filed under: Triticum aestivum (bread wheat)
Lineage: Eukaryota; Viridiplantae; Streptophyta; Magnoliopsida; Poales; Poaceae
Description: partial small subunit ribosomal RNA
Source: RNAcentral
AUGCCCUGCGCUCGAUGCCACAAGGAUUCACGCACAUCAUUGUGUAUGUUAGAUAUUUGCCGCGUGAGCUCGCACUCACCGCGCACACAAAUGGGGCGCGCCACCGCCUGCCUGGCCGCCCUGCUGCUCGCCGUCACCUUUCUGCUUGCCUCUGCCGGCACGGAGUCGCUCACCGCCGUGCAGACGGACCAGGCGGCCACUGAGAGCGGGUCCACCCUGCCGGCGCACUGCUGCAAAGACGAGGAGGAAGCAGUGGUCGGGCCAGCCCCGCCUGUCGGCGGUGUUGCGGACUUGGUAUCUGCGGCGGAGCAUGGCCAGAAGCCUCACUCCCACGAGAGUACCGAAAGGAAGAUCCACCACCACCACCACGACGAUGAUGAUGAUGAUGACGACGACGACGACGACUACGAUUACGAUGACGACGACGACGGCGAUGAUGAUGAUGACAACAACGAGGAUGACGACGACGACUAUGAUGAUGAUGGUGGUGGCGACGACGACGGCGGCGACAACGGCCGGUCCCACUCGGGCCACGAUUCCGACUCGGGUUCUGGUCGUGAUGACGAUGAUGACAACUCAAAGGGCAGGAAGAAGAAGCCCUCAGCUCCAGAGAAGAAGGGAGUCCCGGGAGGUAACCGGUAA